UGUAAGUCAUUAUUGACUAAGCAUAAUUUAAAACAUGGCACCACACAAAACAAUGUCUUGUAUGCCAAUUUCUGUCUCCUACCCAAUGCAGUCAAAUGUCUUUAUUUGUAUGUUGGAUAGGUGAUGGGGGAGCUUCAACGCAUUCUGGACAAAAAUAACAUCCAUUACAUUGAUGAGCUGAAGGGAAGAUGGGACGACUUCUGCCAGAAGGUGCAGUUUUUUGGUGUGUGGAAAAAGCUGCUGAAACCCUCAGUAGGAAUGGACAAAGGCUCUCAGUAUCCUACGUGUGCUGCCUUCAUUGUUCCCCUCUUCAUCUGCUCCUCUGAAGAAGUUAGGACAUGUGAGUGAGGCUCUUGUGCAUGUCCUCGAGGAAAAAGAAGACCCCAAUGACUAUCUGAAGAAACGUCGUCUCUCCUGCCCAGUCCUUAUUGUGAGUUUGUCCAACUGCCUCCUGGCUGUAGGAGAUGUGCUGAUAACUACGCUCCCAAAAGACAAGGUAACACAGGGUGUUUUAUACCUUACGGCCUACUAUUAUGCUCUACACCUUACUUACCCCAGGUGCGUAGCCACUCUGCUCUCUGUCAUAAAAACGGAGGUUCUCUUGGACACAAUCCAUGAGCGAGACCUCACACCAUCUUUCAAGAAGGGCAUGGCUGACUGGAAUGCCUUUGUUGGCAAGUAAAGCCGUUUCCAUUCUUAUUUAGCAAAUGUUUCCCAAUGUUAAGGUCGCAAUAAUAACAAUGUUGUUGAUCUAUUGAGGGACACAGUGGUCAAAUAUUUAUGUUAAUGUUAGCCCAAGACCCAUAACUUGUUGCAAUAAUAAGCACAUUGUAAGUGUAUUGAGGAGACAGAGGUCAGAUGAUUAUGUCUGACUGUAAUCCAUGUGUUACACAUAUAUGUCAUGUUUUGCUAUGUUUUUUUACUAUUAUUAGUAUUUUAUUACAGUGCCAUACACACUGCGCCAAAACAUGACUGGUGCUGCAGGCACAGUGUAACUGACUAACUGCACUGUAUUGUAAGAAUUGUUUGCUCCCUCCUGCAUUUCAGAGCUAAAGAGGCAUGCUCUUUCUUAUGCAAAUAAAAUAUUUGUUUGUUUAAUGCA
Non-coding RNA from Gasterosteus aculeatus aculeatus (three-spined stickleback), 1102 nucleotides. NCBI's taxonomy places the organism in Eukaryota, Metazoa, Chordata, Actinopteri, Perciformes, Gasterosteidae. The record is from RefSeq and is a predicted model, not a curated record.